RNAcentral lists this transfer RNA (73 nucleotides) under Aureococcus anophagefferens. It matches the Rfam family "tRNA". Rfam says of the family: Transfer RNA (tRNA) molecules are approximately 80 nucleotides in length. Their secondary structure includes four short double-helical elements and three loops (D, anti-codon, and T loops). Lineage: Eukaryota; Pelagophyceae; Pelagomonadales; Pelagomonadaceae. The record is from Rfam by way of RNAcentral.
UCCGAUGUGGUGUAGGUGGUUAGCAUACUUGGCUUUCACCCAAGAGACUCGGGUUCGAGUCCCGGCAUCGGAA